AGUGAACGCUGGCGGUAGGCCUAACACAUGCAAGUCGAACGGCAGCACAGUAAGAGCUUGCUCUUACGGGUGGCGAGUGGCGGACGGGUGAGGAAUACAUCGGAAUCUACUUUUUCGUGGGGGAUAACGUAGGGAAACUUACGCUAAUACCGCAUACGACCUACGGGUGAAAGCAGGGAUCUUCGGACCUUGCGCGAUUGAAUGAGCCGAUGUCGGAUUAGCUAGUUGGCGGGGUAAAGGCCCACCAAGGCGACGAUCCGUAGCUGGUCUGAGAGGAUGAUCAGCAACACUGGAACUGAGACACGGUCCAGACUCCUACGGGAGGCAGCAGUGGGGAAUAUUGGACAAUGGGCGCAAGCCUGAUCCAGCCAUACCGCGUGGGUGAAGAAGGCCUUCGGGUUGUAAAGCCCUUUUGUUGGGAAAGAAAAGCAGCAGGUUAAUACCCCGCUGUUCUGACGGUACCCAAAGAAUAAGCACCGGCUAACUUCGUG
Molecule: ribosomal RNA, 491 nt
Filed under: uncultured bacterium
Lineage: Bacteria
Description: partial 16S ribosomal RNA
Rfam family: Bacterial small subunit ribosomal RNA
Source: RNAcentral